AUUUGCUUGGAUACAUUAGCAUGGAAUAAUAGAAUAAGACAAUGGUCUCAUUUUGUUGGUAUUGGGGACCAAAGUAAUGAUUAAUAGGGAUAGUUGGGGGCAUUAGUAUUUGGAAGCUAGAGGUGAAAUUCGUGGAUUUUCCAAAGACUCACUAUUGCGAAAGCACUUGCCAAGGAUGUUUUCAUUGAUCAAGAACGAAAGUAUAGGGAUCGAAAACGAUCAGAUACCGUUGUAGUCUAUACCAUAAACUAUGCCGACUUGGGAUCAGUUAAAUCGACUUUAAUUGGCACCAUAUGAGAAAUCAAAGUUUUUGGGGUCUGGGGGGAGUAUGGUCGCAAGAGUGAAACUUGAAGGAGUUGACGGAAGGGCACCACCAGUAGUGGGACUUGCGACUCAAUUUGACUCAACACGGGAAAACUCACCAGGCCCAGACAUAGCUAGGAUUGACAGAUUGAGAGCUCUUUCAUGAUUUUAUGGGUGGUGGUGCAUGGCCGUUCUUGGUUCGUGGAAUGAUCUGUCUGCUUAAUUGCGAUAACGAACGAGACCUUUGCCUUCUUUACUAUAUGUGCAGAUGCGAAUUUGCAUGUUUUCAAAGAGGGACUGAUUGGAAAAACCGAUUGGAAGUUUGAGGCAAUAACAGGUCUGUGAUGCCCUUAGAUGUUCUGGGCCGUACGCGUGUCACACUGUCAGAGACAGCGAGUGUAGCAUUGCCGAAAGGUAUAGCGAAUCUUCUAAACUCUGACGUGCUGGGGAUAAACCAUUGCAAUUAUUGGUUUUCAACGAGGAAUUACUAGUAAGUGCAUGUCAUCAACAUGCGCUGAUUACGUCCCUGCCCUUUGUACACACCGCCCGUCGGUGGAUUCGAUUGAAUGUUUUAGUGAGGUUAAUUGAGACACACGGGGGCGAAAGCCUCCGUGUGUCGAAGCUGCCCAAACUUGAAUGUUUAGAGAAACCAAAAGUCGUAACAAGGUUUCCGUA
Molecule: ribosomal RNA, 978 nt
Filed under: Amoebophrya sp.
Lineage: Eukaryota; Dinophyceae; Syndiniales; Amoebophryaceae
Description: SSU rRNA
Rfam family: Eukaryotic small subunit ribosomal RNA
Source: RNAcentral